GCCCUUAGAGUUUGAUCCUGGCUCAGAACGAACGCUGGCGGCAGGCCUAACACAUGCAAGUCGAGCGCUACCUUCGGGUGGAGCGGCGGACGGGUUAGUAACGCGUGGGAAUAUACCCUUCUCUACGGAAUAGCCUCGGGAAACUGAGAGUAAUACCGUAUACGCCCUUCGGGGGAAAGAUUUAUCGGAGAAGGAUUAGCCCGCGUAAGAUUAGAUAGUUGGUGGGGUAAUGGCCUACCAAGUCUACGAUCUUUAGCUGGUUUUAGAGGAUGAUCAGCAACACUGGGACUGAGACACGGCCCAGACUCCUACGGGAGGCAGCAGUGGGGAAUCUUAGACAAUGGGCGAAAGCCUGAUCUAGCCAUGCCGCGUGAGUGAUGAAGGCCUUAGGGUCAUAAAGCUCUUUCGCCAGGGAUGAUAAUGACAGUACCUGGUAAAGAAGCCCCGGCUAACUCCGUGCCAGCAGCCGCGGUAAUAAGGGCG
Molecule: ribosomal RNA, 483 nt
Filed under: uncultured Roseobacter sp.
Lineage: Bacteria; Pseudomonadati; Pseudomonadota; Alphaproteobacteria; Rhodobacterales; Roseobacteraceae
Description: bacterial SSU rRNA
Rfam family: Bacterial small subunit ribosomal RNA
Source: RNAcentral